This 407-nucleotide ribosomal RNA is filed under the name uncultured bacterium. RNAcentral's name for it is "partial 16S ribosomal RNA". It matches the Rfam family "Bacterial small subunit ribosomal RNA", at positions 28 to 526 of the family's 1533-position model. The record is from RNAcentral.
GACGAACGCUGGCGGCGUGCCUAAUACAUGCAAGUAGAACGAAGUUACGAGCGGGUGAGUAACGCGUAGGUAACUGCCUGGUAGCGGGGGAUAACAACUGGAGACGCGAGCUGAUACAGCGUACUGCCAGAUGGAACUGGGUUGUAUUAGCUGGUUGGUGGGGUAACGGAUCACAAAGGCAACGAUACAUAGCCGGCGUGAGAGGGGGAUCGGCCACACGGGGACUGAUACACGGCCCAGACUCCUACGGGAGGCAGCAGGAGGGAAUCUUCCGCAAUGGACGAAAGUCUGACCGAGCAACGCCGCGUGAGUGAAGAAGGUUUUCGGAUCGUAAAACUCUGUUGUUAGAGAAGCGGUAUCUAACCAGAAAGCCACGGCUAACUACGUGCCAGCAGCCGCGGUAAUUC